GGAAGGAUGGGUGAGUGGCUGAAACCAACAGUUUGCUAAACUGUCGUACUCGUGAGGGUACCGGGGGUUCGAAUCCCCCUUCUUCCGCCA
Molecule: transfer RNA, 90 nt
Filed under: Bacteroidetes bacterium ADurb.Bin041
Lineage: Bacteria; Pseudomonadati; Bacteroidota
Also listed under: 2 other names
Description: tRNA-Ser
Rfam family: tRNA
About the family: Transfer RNA (tRNA) molecules are approximately 80 nucleotides in length. Their secondary structure includes four short double-helical elements and three loops (D, anti-codon, and T loops).
Source: RNAcentral